This is a non-coding RNA of Pelobates cultripes (western spadefoot toad), 208 nucleotides long. NCBI's taxonomy places the organism in Eukaryota, Metazoa, Chordata, Amphibia, Anura, Pelobatidae. The record is from the annotation of a GenBank genome assembly.
AUGAGAAGAUGGACAUAGAGAAUGAAAGACACAGAGGGGGGCAAUCCAAUAAAAGGAGUUUUUGUGAGACUGCGUAGUUGGCUCAGACAUCCUUAGCAUUAGUCCAACCUUUCUUUUGAUUUUAAUGUAAGCUUCAUGUUUUAGCCACAUUUACACACAUUCUUUAGUAUUUAGUAUUACGUUUAUGAUUUUCCCUUUUUUACUGUGG